This is a long non-coding RNA of Myotis myotis, 165 nucleotides long. RefSeq lists it as uncharacterized. The transcript has 3 exons. The record is from RefSeq and is a predicted model, not a curated record. NCBI's taxonomy places the organism in Eukaryota, Metazoa, Chordata, Mammalia, Chiroptera, Vespertilionidae.
UUUUCAGUUGUGUUUUUGUAGGGGAAAGAUGAGAGAUGAACAGUGUUUAAAUUCAAUCUGUCUAGAAACUGAAAAGGUGUUCUCAUACUUUCAAAAGGAAAUACUGCCUGCAGCUAAAAGUUUAUAACUGAGAAAGACCUAGAGCAGCAUGCAGGUAGUAAAAAA